UACGUAGGGGGCGAGCGUUGUCCGGAGUACUGGGCGUAAAGCGCACGCAGGCGGUCUGCUAAGUUUGGAGUGACAGUUGGUGGCUUAACUGCCAAAGUGCUUCGAAAACUGACAGACUUGAGGGCUUCAGAGGGACACGGAAUUCCGGGUGUAGUGGUGAAAUGCGUAGAGAUCGGGAGGAACACCAGUGGCGAAGGCGGCCGGCUGGGGGUGCCCUGACGCUGAGGCGCGAAAGCGUGGGGAGCGAACCGG
RNAcentral lists this ribosomal RNA (252 nucleotides) under uncultured bacterium. RNAcentral's name for it is "partial 16S ribosomal RNA". It matches the Rfam family "Bacterial small subunit ribosomal RNA", at positions 524 to 776 of the family's 1533-position model. The record is from RNAcentral.